RNAcentral lists this ribosomal RNA (406 nucleotides) under uncultured bacterium. RNAcentral's name for it is "partial 16S ribosomal RNA". It matches the Rfam family "Bacterial small subunit ribosomal RNA", at positions 29 to 526 of the family's 1533-position model. The record is from RNAcentral.
AUUGAACGCUGGCGGCAGGCCUAACACAUGCAAGUCGAACGAGUGGCGGACGGGUGAGUAAUGUCUGGGAAACUGCCUGAUGGAGGGGGAUAACUACUGGAAACGGUAGCUAAUACCGCAUACCAUCGGAUGUGCCCAGAUGGGAUUAGCUAGUAGGGGGGGUAACGGCUCACCUAGGCGACGCUCCCUAGCUGGUCUGAGAGGAUGACCAGCCAACACUGAACUUGGACAAGGGCCAGAAGUCCAAGGGAGGGAGCAGUUGGGAAUAUUGGACCACGGGCGCAAGCCUGACGGAGGCACGGCGAGUUGAUGAAGGAGGCCUUCGGGUUGUAAAGUACUUUCAGCGGGGAGGCGUUACCCGCAGAAGAAGCACCGGCUAACUCCGUGCCAGCAGCCGCGGUAAUUC